GAUGGACGCUAGCGGCAGGCCUAAUACAUGCAAGUCGAGGGGCAGCGGGAGUAGCAAUACUUGCCGGCGACCGGCGCACGGGUGCGUAACACGUAUGUAAUCUACCCUUUACUGGAGAAUAGCCCGAAGAAAUUCGGAUUAAUGCUCCAUAAUAUCACUGGAAGGCAUCUUUUGGUGAUUAAAGUUCCGACGGUAAAGGAUGAGCAUGCGCGAUAUUAGAGAGUUGGUGAGGUAACGGCUCACCAAGGCGACGAUAUCUAGGGGUACUGAGAGGUUACACCCCCACACUGGUACUGAGACACGGACCAGACUCCUACGGGAGGCAGCAGUAAGGAAUAUUGGACAAUGGUCGCAAGACUGAUCCAGCCAUGCCGCGUGCAGGAUGAAUGCCCUAUGGGUUGUAAACUGCUUUUAUACGGGAAUAAACCCGGGUACGUGUACCCGGCUGAAUGUACCGUAAGAAUAAGGGUCGGCUAACUUCGUGCCAGCCGCCGCCGUAA
Molecule: ribosomal RNA, 500 nt
Filed under: uncultured bacterium
Lineage: Bacteria
Description: partial 16S ribosomal RNA
Rfam family: Bacterial small subunit ribosomal RNA
Source: RNAcentral